CGUGGGAAUCUACCUAGUAGUGGGGGACAACAGUUGGAAACGACUGCUAAUACCGCAUACGCCCUACGGGGGAAAGCGGAGGAUCUUCGGACUUCGUGCUAUUAGAUGAGCCCGCGUGAGAUUAGUUUGUUGGUGGGGUAAUGGCCUACCAAGACUACGAUCUCUAGCUGGUCUGAGAGGAUGAUCAGCCACACUGGAACUGAGACACGGUCCAGACUCCUACGGGAGGCAGCAGUGGGGAAUAUUGCACAAUGGGGGAAACCCUGAUGCAGCCAUGCCGCGUGUGUGAAGAAGGCUCUA
This 300-nucleotide ribosomal RNA is filed under the name uncultured Alteromonadaceae bacterium. RNAcentral's name for it is "bacterial SSU rRNA". It matches the Rfam family "Bacterial small subunit ribosomal RNA", at positions 116 to 419 of the family's 1533-position model. The record is from RNAcentral. Lineage: Bacteria; Pseudomonadati; Pseudomonadota; Gammaproteobacteria; Alteromonadales; Alteromonadaceae.